CGGGGGGCUGCACCAGUGGGGAAUAUCGCACAAUGGGGGAAACCCUGAUGCAGCAACGCCGCGUGGAGGAUGACGCAUUUCGGUGUGUAAACUCCUUUUAUAUAGGAAGAUAAUGACGGUACUAUAUGAAUAAGCACCGGCUAACUCCGUGCCAGCAGCCGCAGUAAUACGGAGGGUGCAAGCGUUACUCGGAAUCACUGGGCGUAAAGCGCGCGCAGGCGGCCUUUUAAGUUGGAUGUGAAAGCCUAUGGCUUAACCAUAGAACUGCAUCCAAAACUAUCAGGCUAGAGUCUGGGAGGGGAAGAUGGAAUUAGUUGUGUAGGGGUAAAAUCCGUAGAGAUAACUAGGAAUACCAAAAGCGAAGGCGAUCUUCUGGAACAGUACUGACGCUGAGGCGCGAAAGCGUGGGGAGCAAACAGGAUUAGAUACCCGCGUAGUC
RNAcentral lists this ribosomal RNA (439 nucleotides) under uncultured bacterium. Its description in RNAcentral is "partial 16S ribosomal RNA". It matches the Rfam family "Bacterial small subunit ribosomal RNA", at positions 339 to 795 of the family's 1533-position model. The record is from RNAcentral.